Microplitis mediator is the source of this 566-nucleotide long non-coding RNA. RefSeq lists it as uncharacterized. The record is from RefSeq and is a predicted model, not a curated record. The transcript is spliced from 3 exons. Lineage: Eukaryota; Metazoa; Arthropoda; Insecta; Hymenoptera; Braconidae.
AACAAUUAAGAUAAUUAUAUAUAAUAAGCUUGAUAAAUAACCAUUUAAAUUUUGAACAAAAAGGGGAAGUUGAGAUACAGAGAAGCAGAAAUUCAUUAAUAAUAUAAAAAGACAUCGAUCGCUUCUAACAAAAUUCUUUGUUAAUUAAAUAAAUAAAUUCAAAGAUGUCCAAGUUUAUUAUUUUACUGUUGGUAACUAUGUUCGCUGUCAAUAUUUACGCUGAUGAUGAAAAGACGUGUUCUGAUCCUGGCGAUGAUUGUGACAAAAAUGAGGAGUGUUGCAGUGGGGUGUGUGAUGUGUAUUAUGGCAUAAAGCAAUGUUACCCAACACUAGAAGAAAUGGAUCAAUAUACUAAAUAAAUCAAUUCAUUCAAUGAACAAUUACGAAAUUUAUGAAAUUAUUUUUUCCUUAAAUUUAAUAUUUUAUUUAUUUGUCGGGCUACAAAAAAAUUUUUUUUCUGGUUUUAAUUGCUGUCAUAUUUAAAUUUCAUAUAAUGGGCGAAUUUUUAAUUAAAAAAAAAUUUUCUCACAUCAGAUAUGAAAUUUUUUUUAUUUCAUAGCCCCAUC